This 503-nucleotide ribosomal RNA is filed under the name uncultured bacterium. Its description in RNAcentral is "partial 16S ribosomal RNA". It matches the Rfam family "Bacterial small subunit ribosomal RNA", at positions 30 to 523 of the family's 1533-position model. The record is from RNAcentral.
AUUGAACGCUGGCGGCAGGCUUAACACAUGCAAGUCGAGCGGGGUGAUGGUGCUUGCACUAUCACUUAGCGGCGGACGGGUGAGUAAUGCUUAGGAAUCUGCCUAUUAGUGGGGGACAACAUCUCGAAAGGGAUGCUAAUACCGCAUACGUCCUACGGGAGAAAGCAGGGGAUCACUUGUGACCUUGCGCUAAUAGAUGAGCCUAAGUCGGAUUAGCUAGUUGGUGGGGUAAAGGCCUACCAAGGCGACGAUCUGUAGCGGGUCUGAGAGGAUGAACCGCCGCACUGGGACUGAGACACGGCCCAGACUCCUACGGGAGGCAGCAGUGGGGAAUAUUGGACAAUGGGGGGAAGCCUGAUCCAGCCAUGCCGCGUGUGUGAAGAAGGCCUUAUGGUUGUAAAGCACUUUAAGCGAGGAGGAGGCUCUUUUGGUUAAUACCCAAGAUGAGUGGACGUUACUCGCAGAAUAAGCACCGGCUAACUCUGUGCCAGCAGCCGCCGCCG